AAAAAGGCCCUUUUCAGGGCCACCACAUAUUACAGAAACGUCAAUAU
This is a regulatory RNA element of Daphnia magna, 47 nucleotides long. It matches the Rfam family "Histone 3' UTR stem-loop". Rfam says of the family: The mRNAs of metazoan histone genes lack a poly-A tail. 3' end processing occurs at a site between a highly conserved stem-loop (modelled by this family) and a purine rich region around 20 nts downstream (the histone downstream element, or HDE). The stem-loop is bound by a 31 kDa stem-loop binding protein (SLBP - also termed the histone hairpin binding protein, or HBP). The record is from Rfam. NCBI's taxonomy places the organism in Eukaryota, Metazoa, Arthropoda, Branchiopoda, Diplostraca, Daphniidae.